Molecule: ribosomal RNA, 497 nt
Filed under: uncultured bacterium
Lineage: Bacteria
Description: partial 16S ribosomal RNA
Rfam family: Bacterial small subunit ribosomal RNA
Source: RNAcentral
GACGAACGCUGGCGGCGUGCCUAAUACAUGCAAGUUGAGCGCUGAAGGUUGGUACUUGUACCAACUGGAUGAGCAGCGAACGGGUGAGUAACGCGUGGGGAAUCUGCCUUUGAGCGGGGGACAACAUUUGGAAACGAAUGCUAAUACCGCAUAAAAACUUUAAACACAAGUUUUAAGUUUGAAAGAUGCGAUUGCAUCACUCAAAGAUGAUCCCGCGUUGUAUUAGCUAGUUGGUGAGGUAAAGGCUCACCAAGGCGAUGAUACAUAGCCGACCUGAGAGGGUGAUCGGCCACAUUGGGACUGAGACACGGCCCAAACUCCUACGGGAGGCAGCAGUAGGGAAACUUCGGCAAUGGACGAAAGUCUGACCGAGCAACGCCGGGUGAGGGAAGAAGGGUUUCGGAUCGUAAAACUCUGUUGGUAGGGAAGAACGUUGGUGAGAGUGGAAAGCUCAUCAAGUGACGGUAACUACACAGAAAGGGACGGCUAACUACGUG